CAAUAGCGUAUAUUAAUGUUGUUGCAGUUAAAAAGCUCGUAGUUGGAUUUCUGGUGGGAGCGGCCGGUCCGCCGUAAGGUGUGUACUUGGUUGUCUCCUGUCAUCCUUGUGGGAACUGCUCUGGCAUUAAGUUGUCGGGGUUAGGGAACACAUCGUUUACUGUGAAAAAAUUAGAGUGUUUAAAGCAGGCUUAUGCCGUUGAAUACAUUAGCAUGGAAUAAUAAGAUAGGACUUUGGCGUCUAUUUUGUUGGUUUGCACACCAAGGUAAUGAUUAAUAGGGAUAGUUGGGGGUAUUCGUAUUUGGCCGUCAGAGGUGAAGUUCUUGGAUUGGCCAACGACGAACUACUGCGAAAGCAUUUGCCAAGGAUGUUUUCAUUGA
Molecule: ribosomal RNA, 380 nt
Filed under: uncultured eukaryote
Lineage: Eukaryota
Description: partial 18S ribosomal RNA
Rfam family: Eukaryotic small subunit ribosomal RNA
Source: RNAcentral